AAUCACUUUUUAGUAUCUUGAAAAUACUACCUUAGAAUUAAAUUUCUAGUGAUUU
This 55-nucleotide transfer RNA is filed under the name Campodea lubbockii. RNAcentral's name for it is "Campodea lubbocki tRNA-Ser". The record is from RNAcentral. Lineage: Eukaryota; Metazoa; Arthropoda; Diplura; Rhabdura; Campodeidae.